GACGAACGCUGGCGGCGUGCUUAACACAUGCAAGUCGAACGGAAAGGCCCUGCUUUUGUGGGGUGCUCGAGUGGCGAACGGGUGAGUAACACGUGAGUAACCUGCCCUUGACUUUGGGAUAACUUCAGGAAACUGGGGCUAAUACCGGCUAGGAGCUCCUGCUGCAUGGUGGGGGUUGGAAAGUUUCGGCGGUUGGGGAUGGACUCGCGGCUUAUCAGCUUGUUGGUGGGGUAGUGGCUUACCAAGGCUUUGACGGGUAGCCGGCCUGAGAGGGUGACCGGCCACAUUGGGACUGAGAUACGGCCCAGACUCCUACGGGACGCAGCAGUGGAGAAGAUUGCACAAUGGGCGGAAGCCUGAUGCAGCAACGCCGCGUGCGGGAUGACGGCCUUCGGGUUGUAAACCGCUGUCGCCUGUGACGAAGCGUGAGUGACGGUAAUGGGUAAAGAAGCACCGGCUAACUACGUG
RNAcentral lists this ribosomal RNA (468 nucleotides) under uncultured bacterium. Its description in RNAcentral is "partial 16S ribosomal RNA". It matches the Rfam family "Bacterial small subunit ribosomal RNA", at positions 28 to 507 of the family's 1533-position model. The record is from RNAcentral.